This 765-nucleotide ribosomal RNA is filed under the name uncultured archaeon. Its description in RNAcentral is "bacterial SSU rRNA". It matches the Rfam family "Archaeal small subunit ribosomal RNA", at positions 114 to 878 of the family's 1478-position model. The record is from RNAcentral.
CUUGGGUCUGGGAUAACCCCGGGAAACUGGGGAUAAUACCGGAUAACGCAUAUAUGCUGGAAUGCUUUAUGCGUAAAAUGGAUUCGUCUGCCCAAGGAUGGGUCUGCGGCCUAUCAGGUAGUAGUGGGUGUAAUGUAUCUACUAGCCUACAACGGGUACGGGUUGUGAGAGCAAGAGCCCGGAGAUGGAUUCUGAGACAUGAAUCCAGGCCCUACGGGGCGCAGCAGGCGCGAAAACUUUACAAUGCGGGAAACCGUGAUAAGGGGACACCGAGUGCCAGCAUCAUAUGCUGGCUGUCCAGAUGUGUAAAAUACAUCUGUUAGCAAGGGCCGGGCAAGACCGGUGCCAGCCGCCGCGGUAACACCGGCGGCCCGAGUGGUGAUCGUGAUUAUUGGGUCUAAAGGGUCCGUAGCCGGUUUGGUCAGUCCUCCGGGAAAUCUGAUGGCUCAACCAUUAGGCUUUCGGGGGAUACUGCCAGGCUUGGAACCGGGAGAGGUAAGAGGUACUACAGGGGUAGGAGUGAAAUCUUGUAAUCCCUGUGAGACCACCUGUGGCGAAGGCGUCUUACCAGAACGGGUUCGACGGUGGGGGACGAAAGCUGGGGGCACGAACCGGAUUAGAUACCCGGGUAGUCCCAGCCGUAAACGAUGCUCGCUAGGUGUCAGGCAUGGCGCGACCGUGUCUGGUGCCGCAGGAAGCCGUGAAGCGAGCCACCUGGGAAGUACGGCCGCAAGGCUAAAACUUAAAGGAAUUGGCGGGGGAGCA